RNAcentral lists this transfer RNA (73 nucleotides) under Micromonospora fluostatini. Its description in RNAcentral is "tRNA-Lys". It matches the Rfam family "tRNA". From Rfam's summary of the family: Transfer RNA (tRNA) molecules are approximately 80 nucleotides in length. Their secondary structure includes four short double-helical elements and three loops (D, anti-codon, and T loops). The record is from RNAcentral. Lineage: Bacteria; Bacillati; Actinomycetota; Actinomycetes; Micromonosporales; Micromonosporaceae.
GGGCCGUUAGCUCAAUCGGCAGAGCUGGGGACUUUUAAUCCCUAGGUUCAGGGUUCGAGUCCCUGGCGGCCCA